CGCGGGGUGGAGCAGUUCGGUAGCUCGUCGGGCUCAUAACCCGAAGGUCGGAGGUUCAAAUCCUUCCCCCGCAA
Molecule: transfer RNA, 74 nt
Rfam family: tRNA
About the family: Transfer RNA (tRNA) molecules are approximately 80 nucleotides in length. Their secondary structure includes four short double-helical elements and three loops (D, anti-codon, and T loops).
Source: Rfam